AGUCAAACUUUCUUCCAAAUUCCCAAUCUGUUUCUUAAUUUUCCUAAGAGUAUGACUACACGUGAUUCACACACAAACAAAGAUAAUGUCGGACUGUAAUGACUCCCUAAAACGUUGUCGGACUCUAAUGUGAUAAGGAAAAAUCUUCUAGCCUAAAUCACCCCUAAACGUGAACACAAUCAAACAAUUAAAAACGAAAAACAAAUAAAGUUGCCAAGAGUUGGAAAGAGCACUAAGAACUCUUCCAAUCUUGGACUUUAUAACAGGCCCUUUACAAACACAAAAAGCUAAUCUAACAAUGACAGUUGGGCUGCAAGCCCAUCGAAUACAAAAAAAAAAAAAAACAAUACACUAAACUAGGCUAUUGUCCGGUCCACUUCAUCUUGCUGCUACUACAACUCAAUGCGGCUACAAUCCCCUUGGUCAACAUCCUUGCUCAAGCAUCAGAAAAAAUUCUUGUUCCAAUUCUUCACAUGCCCACAAAACUGCUACGGCCCAAUUUAUUGAUGAAGAAUCAUGGCCCAGAUCUUGUUAUCAACUCUCUCGUUCUAUAUCACGAAACUGUCUGGGUCCAAUCCUGC
Molecule: long non-coding RNA, 581 nt
Filed under: Vigna radiata
Lineage: Eukaryota; Viridiplantae; Streptophyta; Magnoliopsida; Fabales; Fabaceae
Description: long non-coding RNA (VRAD_LNC008226)
Source: RNAcentral